This 213-nucleotide unclassified non-coding RNA is filed under the name soil metagenome. Its description in RNAcentral is "partial contains 5.8S ribosomal RNA, internal transcribed spacer 2, and large subunit ribosomal RNA". The record is from RNAcentral.
AACCUUAUGGACCUGCGGGCGUAUACCUGCGGAGGGAUCAUUACAGAGUUUUAAAACUCCCAAACCCAUGUGAACAUACCUGUUGCCUCGGCGGCCUACCCGGCAGCUACCCUGUAGCUACCCUGUAGACCGCCGGCGGAAUACAAAACUCUUGUUUUCAGUUGUCAUUUCUGAGAAUAAAACAAAUAAAUCAAAACUUUUAACAACGGAUCU